UCAUAUGGAGACAUUUUCUUGAUGC
This 25-nucleotide non-coding RNA is filed under the name Mus musculus (house mouse). Lineage: Eukaryota; Metazoa; Chordata; Mammalia; Rodentia; Muridae. The record is from RNAcentral.